Molecule: ribosomal RNA, 408 nt
Filed under: uncultured bacterium
Lineage: Bacteria
Description: partial 16S ribosomal RNA
Rfam family: Bacterial small subunit ribosomal RNA
Source: RNAcentral
GACGAACGCUGGCGGCGUGCUUAACACAUGCAAGUCGAACGAAGUGGCGAACGGGUGAGUAACGCGUAAUCAACCUGCCCUUCAGAGGGGGACAAAAGAUGGAAACGACUGCUAAUACCGCAUACUGAAGGAGGGGUUUGCGUCUGAGUAGCUAGUGGGAGGGGUAACGGCCCACCAAGGCGAUGACCAGUAGCCGGUCGGGGAGGAUGAACGGCCACAUUGGGACUGGGACACGGCCCAGACUCCUACGGGUGGCAGCAGUAGGGAUUCUUCCGCAAGGUAAGAAAGUCUGACGGUGCAACACCGCGUGAGUGAUGACGGCCUUCGGGUUGUGAAGCUCUGUUAAUCGGGACGCGGUACCAUAAUAGAAAGCAACGGCUAACUACGUGCCAGCCGCCGCGGUAAUAC